This is a long non-coding RNA of Onychostoma macrolepis, 1225 nucleotides long. RefSeq lists it as uncharacterized. Lineage: Eukaryota; Metazoa; Chordata; Actinopteri; Cypriniformes; Cyprinidae. The record is from RefSeq and is a predicted model, not a curated record. The transcript is spliced from 4 exons.
CCAUGCUGGCCAAUCAGAAGCCUGACAAAGUUUCAAGUAGGCGGAGAUAACAGCGCAGGCUCCGACGUCACAAGCCAAAAACUCCGGUUUAGCUGUCUACAUGAUAACACUGCAGCCAGAGUUUUUUUAAAUCUUCACCCUGGCAGGAGUUUUUUCAAAAUGUUCGGUUUCAGUGACCUGGUGCAGCGUUUGCGUGAGGACGAUCGGACAAACCGCAGAGAAAAAGCUGCUGUUUUGAAAAUAACCGCGUUCGUGUGGACGGCCAAUGGGCGCGCGCGUUGAGCAUUCAAAUCACAUUUAAACUGAAGCUGAGGAGGUUACCAUGGUAACAGGGCGUCAACUCACUCAGCUGACAAGUCACGAGAAGCUGUCUCUCUGCUGUCUUCGCUGCUUUCAGGAGUGGUAGUGUUUUCAAAAAGACCGUUAGCAUCACAACCGUUAACUAUAGAGGCUAACAAUUAGAGGAGCGUCAGAAAAAAAUACCUAAAACAGGGGAAGUUACAAAACAAUUUGUAAUGUGAGCUGCUGACAGAGAUACAGGAAUCACAGGGCAGUUCGUGAAGACGGAUAACCUGGACAGAAGUCGGUUCCAGAUCCAGCCUCCACACCAGACUUCUCACUCACAAGGAUUGCUGUCUACUAGAUAUUAUGUGUACUCUUCAGACUUAGGUUCAUGCAGAUAUUAUUCAGGGACAUGAACACUUGAAUACUGCAAAAAUAGAGAAACUACCUUAUUUAAGAAUUUUGUGUUAAUUGCAUGAACAUUAAACAAAUAUAUUUAUUUUACUGUUUUUUGUUUUGUAUUCCAAAGCACCUAAAAGCCAAUUCACACUGCCAUACUCCAACAGGGUGAACACACUGACCAAGCAAAACAAAUAAGCAUGUUUUUAUAGUUUUUGUGAAAGUGUGAACUGACAAUGCUGUAUGUUAGGUGUGAGAUUCAUUCAACUUGGUUUGCUGAUUAAACAUGAUUAAAUAUUUGUUCAGAAUAUUUUGUUGUUGUUGUGACUAUUCAUCUAGGAGGGGUGUGUAUCAAGUGGCUUGGUUAUGGUUUUGUUGAGGCUGACAUGUGGAACCCAUCUGAUCCAGCGUAUAGGACCAGAACAGGGCCAGCUAUGGUCAUACAGAACCUCAGAUCCCACAUAGCAAUUUUUCUCUGGCCCAGCUCCGGCCCACACAAUCAGCUUUUGCUUGGCCCACAUACCGCAAUGACUUACGGUCCUAG